CCUACGGGGGGCAGCAGUGGGGAAUAUUGCGCAAUGGGCGAAAGCCUGACGCAGCGACGCCGCGUGAGGGACGAAGGUCCUCGGAUUGUAAACCUCUUUCAGCAGGGACGAAGGGAAACUGACGGUACCUGCAGAAGAAGCACCGGCUAACUACGUGCCAGCAGCCGCGGUAAUACGUAGGGUGCAAGCGUUGUCCGGAUUUAUUGGGCGUAAAGAGCUCGUAGGCGGCCUGUCACGUCGGAUGUGAAAACCCGGGGCUCAACCCCGGGCCUGCAUUCGA
This 280-nucleotide ribosomal RNA is filed under the name uncultured bacterium. Its description in RNAcentral is "partial 16S ribosomal RNA". It matches the Rfam family "Bacterial small subunit ribosomal RNA", at positions 338 to 630 of the family's 1533-position model. The record is from RNAcentral.